GCGACCCCNGGACGGGCGAGGCCNCCCGCCGAGUUUAAGCAUAUCAAUAAGCGGAGGAGAGAA
Molecule: ribosomal RNA, 63 nt
Filed under: Stanhopea sp. SRR-2011
Lineage: Eukaryota; Viridiplantae; Streptophyta; Magnoliopsida; Asparagales; Orchidaceae
Description: partial 26S ribosomal RNA
Source: RNAcentral